UUGAUCCUGGCUCAGGAUGAACGCUGGCGGUAUGCUUAACACAUGCAAGUCGAACGGUCUUUUAGGAGACAGUGGCGGACGGGUGAGUAACGCGUAAGAAUCUACCUUCAGGUUGGGGACAACCACUGGAAACGGUGGCUAAUACCGAAUGUGCCGAGAGGUGAAAGGCUUGCUGCCUGAAGAAGAGCUUGCGUCUGAUUAGCUAGUUGGUAGUGUAAGAGACUACCAAGGCGACGAUCAGUAGCUGGUCUGAGAGGAUGAUCAGCCACACUGGGACUGAGACACGGCCCAGACUCCUACGGGAGGCAGCAGUGGGGAAUUUUCCGCAAUGGGCGAAAGCCUGACGGAGCAAUACCGCGUGAGGGAGGAAGGCUCUUGGGUUGUAAACCUCUUUUCUCAGGGAAGAACAGAAUGACGGUACCUGAGGAAUAAGCAUCGGCUAACUCCGUGCCAGCAGCCGCGGUAAUACGGAGGAUGCAAGCGUUAUCCGGAAUGAUUGGGCGUAAAGGGUCCGCAGGUGGCAUUGUAAGUCUGCUGUUAAAGAGUUUGGCUCAACCAAAUAAGAGCAGUGGAAACUACAAAGCUAGAGUGUGGUCGGGGCAGAGGGAAUUCCUGGUGUAGCGGUGAAAUGCGUAGAUAUCAGGAAGAACACCAGUGGCGAAGGCGCUCUGCUAGGCCGAGACUGACACUGAGGGACGAAAGCUAGGGGAGCGAAUGGGAUUAGAUACCCCAGUAGUCCUAGCCGUAAACGAUGGAUACUAGGCGUAGCUCGUAUCGACCCGAGCUGUGCCGGAGCUAACGCGUUAAGUAUCCCGCCUGGGGAGUACGCAGGCAACUGUGAAACUCAAAGGAAUUGACGGGGGCCCGCACAAGCGGUGGAGUAUGUGGUUUAAUUCGAUGCAACGCGAAGAACCUUACCAAGGCUUGACAUGUCACGAAUCCUAUUGAAAGAUGGGAGUGCCUUCGGGAGCGUGAACACAGGUGGUGCAUGGCUGUCGUCAGCUCGUGUCGUGAGAUGUUGGGUUAAGUCCCGCAACGAGCGCAACCCUCGUUUUUAGUUGCCAGCAUUAAGAUGGGCACUCUAGAGAGACUGCCGGUGACAAACCGGAGGAAGGUGGGGAUGACGUCAAGUCAGCAUGCCCCUUACGUCUUGGGCUACACACGUACUACAAUGCUCCGGACAAAGGGCAGCUACACAGCGAUGUGAUGCGAAUCUCAUAAACCGGAGCUCAGUUCAGAUCGAAGGCUGCAACUCGCCUUCGUGAAGGAGGAAUCGCUAGUAAUUGCAGGUCAGCAUACUGCAGUGAAUUCGUUCCCGGGCCUUGUACACACCGCCCGUCACACCAUGGAAGUUGGUCACGCCCGAAGUCGUUACCCCAACCUAUUGGAGGGGGAUGCCUAAGGUAGGACUGAUGACUGGGGUGAAGUCGUAACAAGGGUAGCCGUACCGGAAGGUGUGGCUGGAUCACCUCCUUUUAGGGAGACCUAAUCCAUUUAGAAAUUGAGGGUGAUGAAAAUUGCCAAUAAAAACUAAAUUGGUCUAACCUAGGUCGGUCGAGAUUGGUAAAUAUCUUUCAAAGUAUUAUUU
Molecule: ribosomal RNA, 1588 nt
Filed under: Aphanizomenon flos-aquae CCAP 1401/6
Lineage: Bacteria; Bacillati; Cyanobacteriota; Cyanophyceae; Nostocales; Aphanizomenonaceae
Description: bacterial SSU rRNA
Rfam family: Bacterial small subunit ribosomal RNA
Source: RNAcentral